RNAcentral lists this ribosomal RNA (521 nucleotides) under uncultured bacterium. RNAcentral describes it as "bacterial SSU rRNA". It matches the Rfam family "Bacterial small subunit ribosomal RNA", at positions 8 to 518 of the family's 1533-position model. The record is from RNAcentral.
AGAGUUUGAUUCUGGCUCAGGAUGAACGCUAGCUACAGGCUUAACACAUGCAAGUCGAGGGGCAGCAGAUCGAAAGCUUGCUUUGAUGCUGGCGACCGGCGCACGGGUGAGUAACGCGUAUCCAACCUUCCCUAUAGUAGAGAAUAGCCCGGCGAAAGUCGGAUUAAUGCUCUAUGUUGUAUUUAGAGGACAUCUGAAGAAUACCAAAGGUUUACCGCUAUAGGAUGGGGAUGCGUCUGAUUAGGUAGUAGGCGGGGUAACGGCCCACCUAGCCGACGAUCAGUAGGGGUUCUGAGAGGAAGGUCCCCCACAUUGGAACUGAGACACGGUCCAAACUCCUACGGGAGGCAGCAGUGAGGAAUAUUGGUCAAUGGACGGAAGUCUGAACCAGCCAAGUAGCCGUGCAGGAUGACGGCCCUAUGGGUUGUAAACUGCUUUUAUAUAGGGAUAAAGUCGGGGACGUGUCCCCGUUUGUAGGUACUAUAUGAAUAAGGACCGGCUAAUUCCGUGCCAGCAGCCGC